CUCGUAGGCGGUUUGUCGCGUCUGCUGUGAAAACCUAAGGCUCAACCUUGGGCUUGCAGUGGGUACGGGCAGACUAGAGUGCGGUAGGGGUGACUGGAAUUCCUGGUGUAGCGGUGGAAUGCGCAGAUAUCAGGAGGAACACCGAUGGCGAAGGCAGGUCACUGGGCCGCAACUGACGCUGAGGAGCGAAAGCAUGGGAGCGAACA
RNAcentral lists this ribosomal RNA (206 nucleotides) under uncultured bacterium. RNAcentral's name for it is "partial 16S ribosomal RNA". It matches the Rfam family "Bacterial small subunit ribosomal RNA", at positions 568 to 774 of the family's 1533-position model. The record is from RNAcentral.